GACGAACGCUGGCGGCGUGCUUAACACAUGCAAGUCGAACGGAAAGGCCCUGCUUUUGGGGGGGGCUCGAGUGGCGAACGGGUGAGUAACACGUGAGUAACCUGCCCUUGACUUUGGGAUAACUUCAGGAAACUGGGGCUAAUACCGGAUAGGAGCUCCUGCUGCAUGGUGGGGGUUGGAAAGUUUCGGCGGUUGGGGAUGGACUCGCGGCUUAUCAGCUUGUGGGUGGGGUAGUGGCUUACCAAGGCUUUGACGGGUAGCCGGCCUGAGAGGGUGACCGGCCACAUGGGGACUGAGAUACGGCGCAGACGCCUGCGGGAGGCAGCAGUGGGGAAUGUUGCACAAUGGGCGGAAGCCUGAUGCAGCAACGCCGUGUGCGGGAUGACGGGCUUCGGGUUGUAAACCGCUUUCGCCUGUGACGAAGCGUGCGUGACGGAAAUGGGUAAAGAAGCACCGGCUAACUACGUG
RNAcentral lists this ribosomal RNA (468 nucleotides) under uncultured bacterium. Its description in RNAcentral is "partial 16S ribosomal RNA". It matches the Rfam family "Bacterial small subunit ribosomal RNA", at positions 28 to 507 of the family's 1533-position model. The record is from RNAcentral.